AGUGAACGCUGGCGGUAGGCCUAACACAUGCAAGUCGAACGGCAGCACAGUAAGAGCUUGCUCUUACGGGUGGCGAGUGGCGGACGGGUGAGGAAUACAUCGGAAUCUACCUUUUCGUGGGGGAUAACGUAGGGAAACUUACGCUAGUACCGCAUACGACCUACGGGUGAAAGCAGGGGAUCUUCGGACCUUGCGCGAUUGAAUGAGCCGAUGUCGGAUUAGCUAGUUGGCGGGGUAAAGGCCCACCAAGGCGACGAUCCGUAGCUGGUCUGAGAGGAUGAUCAGCCACACUGGAACUGAGACACGGUCCAGACUCCUACGGGAGGCAGCAGUGGGGAAUAUUGGACAAUGGGCGCAAGCCUGAUCCAGCCAUACCGCGUGGGUGAAGAAGGCCUUCGGGUUGUAAAGCCCUUUUGUUGGGAAAGAAAAGCAGCAGGUUAAUACCCCGCUGUUCUGACGGUACCCAAAGAAUAAGCACCGGCUAACUUCGUG
Molecule: ribosomal RNA, 492 nt
Filed under: uncultured bacterium
Lineage: Bacteria
Description: partial 16S ribosomal RNA
Rfam family: Bacterial small subunit ribosomal RNA
Source: RNAcentral